GUGGGGAAUUUUGGACAAUGUGCGAAAGCCUGAUCCAGCAAUGCCGCGUGUGUGAAGAAGGCCUUCGGGUUGUAAAGCACUUUUGGCAGGGAAGAAACAGUGCGUGCUAAUACCAUGCGCGAAUGACGGUACAUGCAGAAUAAGCACCGGCUAACUACGUGCCAGCAGCCGCGGUAAUACGUAGGGUGCAAGCGUUAAUCGGAAUUACUGGGCGUAAAGCGUGCGCAGGCGGCUUUGUAAGACGGAUGUGAAAGCACCGGGCUCAACCUGGGAAGUGCAGUCGUGACUGCAAGGCUAGAGUGGGUCAGAGGGAGUUGGAAUUCCGCGUGUAGCAGUGAAAUGCGUAGAGAUGCGGAGGAACACCGAUGGCGAAGGCAGCCUCCUGGGAUAACACUGACGCUCAGGCACGAAAGCGUGGGGAGCAAACAGGAUUAGAAACCCGUGUAGUCC
RNAcentral lists this ribosomal RNA (450 nucleotides) under uncultured bacterium. RNAcentral describes it as "partial 16S ribosomal RNA". It matches the Rfam family "Bacterial small subunit ribosomal RNA", at positions 354 to 796 of the family's 1533-position model. The record is from RNAcentral.